GAGCUCGUAGGUGGUUUGUCGCGUUGUUCGUGAAAACUCACAGCUUAACUGUGGGCGUGCGGGCGAUACGGGCAGACUAGAGUACUGCAGGGGAGACUGGAAUUCCUGGUGUAGCGGUGGAAUGCGCAGAUAUCAGGAGGAACACCGGUGGCGAAGGCGGGUCUCUGGGCAGUAACUGACGCUGAGGAGCGAAAGCGUGGGGAGCGAACAGGAUUAGAUACCCUGGUAGUCCACGCCGUAAACGGUGGGUACUAGGUGUGGGUUUCCUUCCUUGGGAUCCGUGCCGUAGCUAACGCAUUAAGUACCCCGCCUGGGGAGUACGGCCGCAAGGCUAAAACUCAAAGAAAUUGACGGGGGCCCGCACAAGCGGCGGAGCAUGUGGAUUAAUUCGAUGCAACGCGAAGAACCUUACCUGGGUUUGACAUGCACAGGACGCCAGUAGAGAUAUUGGUUCCCUUGUGGCCUGUGUGCAGGUGGUGCAUGGCUGUCGUCAGCUCGUGUCGUGAGAUGUUGGGUUAAGUCCCGCAACGAGCGCAACCCUUAUCUUAUGUUGCCAGCGCGUAAUGGCGGGGACUCGUGAGAGACUGCCGGGGUCAACUCGGAGGAAGGUGGGGAUGACGUCAAGUCAUCAUGCCCCUUAUGUCCAGGGCUUCACACAUGCUACAAUGGCCGGUACAAAGGGCUGCGAUGCCGUGAGGUGGAGCGAAUCCUUUCAAAGCCGGUCUCAGUUCGGAUCGGGGUCUGCAACUCGACCCCGUGAAGUCGGAGUCGCUAGUAAUCGCAGAUCAGCAACGCUGCGGUGAAUACGUUCCCGGGCCUUGUACACACCGCCCGUCACGUCAUGAAAGUCGGUAACACCCGAAGCCGGUGGCCUAACCCUUGUGGAGGGAGCCGUCGAAG
Molecule: ribosomal RNA, 900 nt
Filed under: Mycolicibacterium peregrinum
Lineage: Bacteria; Bacillati; Actinomycetota; Actinomycetes; Mycobacteriales; Mycobacteriaceae
Description: bacterial SSU rRNA
Rfam family: Bacterial small subunit ribosomal RNA
Source: RNAcentral